UCUAUAAAUCCGACUUUGGACGAAAUACAAGAAGUUCUCGUCUUAGCUGGCAAACACAUCACAGGACUUUCCAAAGGAGUAGCUCAGUGGACUGGAGGAAAAACGCAAAAGCCUUCUGAUCAACGCAAAGAUUCAGUACAGGUAGGUUGGAAGACAUUAGCAGGACACCAAACGAAACAACUUUUCGAAGUAGUUACCAAGCUUGACGGACAGGUACAGUCUUUUGCGGUACCGAUGACGAUGGCGCAGAAGUCGGUAAAGAUGGUUGAAGUUGCAAAAAUGAGAAAGAAAAAAUAUUACCGUCUGGAGUCAGAAGAGAAACCGAUUUUUCCAUUUCAACAGAAAAAUUUUUAC
RNAcentral lists this unclassified non-coding RNA (354 nucleotides) under Melitaea cinxia (Glanville fritillary). RNAcentral's name for it is "misc RNA ENSMCXG00005014245.1". Lineage: Eukaryota; Metazoa; Arthropoda; Insecta; Lepidoptera; Nymphalidae. The record is from RNAcentral.